This 867-nucleotide long non-coding RNA is filed under the name Gadus morhua (Atlantic cod). RNAcentral's name for it is "lncRNA (ENSGMOG00000030888.1)". Lineage: Eukaryota; Metazoa; Chordata; Actinopteri; Gadiformes; Gadidae. The record is from RNAcentral.
AUGAGGUCCAGCACAUGGCUGCUCCCCCUGCUCCUUCUCAGCUCUUCCACCAGCGGUGCGAGCGGGCAGUGUGCGGAGGAGAUUAAGGUGCGCCGCAACCAGGUGCUCGUGGCUCAGGAGGGCGUGCAGCUGGAGGUCGAGUGUCCCGUCAGCUUCUGUUCAGACCCACCGCCCCGUGUCUCAUGGGUGAAAUAUACAAACGGGUCGGACAAAGACAAGCCCGGGUCCGUGUUGGAGAGCAGGUGGGAGGGCCUGUCGAAUAGCUCCGGUGUCUCCUACCUCACCUUCACUCACCUGAUCCUCAACCACUCUGGGGAAUACAGAUGUGAAACCAACUUCACUAAAGGCCAUAUCAUCAACAUCACUGUCACAGGAAGUGCAGAGGUUUCUGUUGAAGAAAAGGACGACCGGCGUGCAGAUCGCGGGGGUCCGGCCCAGCUCCAGCCCUACCUGUGGGCCUCAGCGGGGGUCCUCCUGUGUGUGGUGGUGGUGGUCACUCUGUCACUUGUGUCCCUGCAGCGCUGCCCAGGAGACCCCAGGAGGACGGCGGAGUAUCAGAACACAGUGCUGCCGAUGACUCAGUAUCCAUCAGCGCACUCUAACCCUGGACAAGCCCCUCCCAGUGACACGCCCCUCUCCCUUGCACGCCCCCACCGCCCCGCCCCGAGCCCCCCCACGCCCCACCGGACGUCUCAGCAUGGCCGUCUCUAUGGCAACCGAGGGGAGGAGGAGGAGGAGGAGGAGGAAGAGGAGGAUCAGUCCAUUUGGUACGCGGCCCUGAAUCACGAUGUGAUGCCAGUGGCUCCCAGAGUGCGCCGUAGAGAUAGCUUGCAGGACGUGGAGUACGCAGCCAUCCACGUAGCAUAG